UUUCCAAGGCCUAGGGACUCUGAAUCUACGAUCAGAGAUUUACUUGCUAAUUGAGUUCCUCAAGUAUCUGCUGGCAAGGAAUGACUUUGAUGUUUUGCUGCCAUUGCUGACGGGUGUCUGCGAAGGCAUCACUAGCACCCUUGGCCUUCUUACUGGUGGAAUCGUUAGCCUCUCCUGCGAUGAGCUCCAAUUCGAUAUAGAUGUUGUGUGCAGUGAACCCAUCGCCAUCAGCUUCCCAACCACCACGUCUUUCCAAAAGUGCUUGAAUUCGACUGGUCUCACUUGCGUCAACGACACACCGGUAGACGAGCCGGCAAUACUUGGAUUCUUGAGAGUAUUGGCGUGCCUGGUGAGGUACGUUCUCGACACCGCACCGAGCGAAAUCGUAAAGCAGCUGGGCUGUGAUUUGGUCGGUGUUGUUCACUCGAUCAGUGGCAGCUGCAGUGCGACGGUUGUUUCACCGUUGAUCUGCGCCUUGGAAAGAAUACUAAACACCGAGUGCUCUGUUGUCCAGUGCUAGAACAAAGGCUCCACCCUUUACAUGCACAUAUAAAUUUGAAACUCGGCAUAUCUAUUGUUUAUAUAACCAAAGAAAACUUGAUGGCAUAAAUUGAAGAUUGUUGAAACAUUUUGUUAUUCUGCUUUUGCCUGCAUACAUUCUAGGAAAGCGAACCUCAGCCCUUGCUCGCUAAACCUUUAAAUCUAAAUACAUUAUUUUCUCUCGAACGAGGUGUCAUUGAAGAUCGGUGACAUAUUAGGUAAAUAUGCCUCUGCGUUAAUUUGUUCGAGCCAAGCGAAGCGCUGUAACCCGAGGCAAGUCUUUUAAAUCAAUGCAAAAUAUCCUCUCUCCAGCGAUUUAUGCAGAAAGCCUACAUUUAAUGUACAGUAAAAACUUGUUCGCAACGUAAUUUCGCUCUUUAGCCACUAAACUAGCGAUAUAAAUCUUGAGUUCACACGUUCCCAGAUGCCAUGAAAUAUUGAUGCCUAGAAUUCCUGUCGCGAAUUUGCGUAUAUGUCAUAAACGUUCUUCCCUUUUAAAGAGCACAAAUGCAUGUUUUCGAUUUGAAAAUAAGAGCCGUAAAUACUGACUCACGAGAGCUCGCAUGCGAAAUUAAUUAAACUAUCAAUGCCAAAGCAUCUUCGUUAGCUGCUUUCCUUGUACCUAAAGUAGCUAAUUUCUAACUCAAAGAAAAUAUUUUCGAUUAUUUUGUACUAUAUUAUUAGUAAACGUUGAAAUCUGGCAAAGAAGUACUCAUUUUAAGGUCUAUUAACUAGCGCAUGCAUUUCCCUUCCUCUUACCUGUUCAUACGGAAAGAACUUAGGUUC
RNAcentral lists this long non-coding RNA (1326 nucleotides) under Dermacentor andersoni. RNAcentral describes it as "uncharacterized LOC126529398". The record is from RNAcentral. Lineage: Eukaryota; Metazoa; Arthropoda; Arachnida; Ixodida; Ixodidae.